Molecule: long non-coding RNA, 2981 nt
Filed under: Sorghum bicolor (sorghum)
Lineage: Eukaryota; Viridiplantae; Streptophyta; Magnoliopsida; Poales; Poaceae
Description: long non-coding RNA (SBIC_LNC017166)
Source: RNAcentral
AAAAAAUAAGAAAAUUCAAAAAAAAUUAUAACAAAGUCGUUACAUAUCAAUGCUAGCAUCUCAUAGCGAUAGAAAAAUCUCAGAAAUAAGUAUGUUUACAUAAAAAUAUAUAGGUGUUUCAAACUGAAAUCAAGUCUUUGCACAACUACAUAGAAGCCAAAAAUGUCAACGAUCAUUACAAAAUUUGACCAUACUUCACUUGUCUCAAACAUGCAUUUGUUCCACCAAAACCUCUGCAAAUAACAUAACGAAAAUAGUGAGCCCUUGUAACAGAUUUUUUCCCAACAAGUUUGUAUAUGAAUGCAUCAUAUAAAAAAAGAAGGUUAAAGAAUAAAGUUACAGCAAGCUAACACAUGCAAAUGCAGUUUAGUUCAGACUAACCAGUGGAGGCUUUUCUUUUCUUUUACAUACACAAGCAUGGAGUCUAAUGAAAAAUUACCUACACCCAUCAACCGAGUUCCAAUUUAAUCAAUAUUUAGAUUUAAAAAAGGAGAUCCUCGCAAGUAGGACAAUCAUGUGUUCUCAGAGACAAACCGUACUUAACAAAUGUAUAGUACACAUUAAUUAAGCAUUAAAACCGGCUAACUAGCACUAUAAUUUUUUUAUUGGAUUCCUAAACUAACUAGUACUGAGUAGUUCUGUAGGUCAAAAGCAUGCCUGAGAAUGCAGUGGACAAAUCAUUUAGCACUAAAUAAAUAGCAGCACCAAGACUUUGCUUACGCUUUCUCCCACCACUCACUCCUUGCAUAAAAUCUCCUGUAGACUGAGCUUCAUUGUGUGCACUUGAGACAUCUAGCCCAUCAAAAGGAGUAGUUAGACCUCAAACAGGAUAUCCUGUUAUAGAAAUAGUGAAACACAGAUAACAGGAUCAGGAUAUCCUUUUAAUACAAACAGGAUCUGCACAUCUAUAGAAUGUAAAAGUAAAAAAAAAACAGGAUAUCAUAUUAUAGAACUAGUAGAGUAUAUUAGUUAUGGCUUGACUAAAAUUCAAUGACAUCUAUUUAAAGUUAAGAAGCCAUACAAAGUAAUAGAAACUGAAACUCUCUGAAUUCAAACACUUCAAUGCAAAUCUCUGAAACCAGAUAGGACACAUGUUUUUAAGUUUUUUUAGCAAUAAAAUAGCAGGUUGACUGUAGGCUAGCCUGCCAGGGUCAAGCCAAGCUCCUUUGGUUCUCUGCUAAUUUUCUACAACUAUUCAUUCCCACAGUUUUUAGAACAAAUGCAGAGUAUUUGCCACACCAGAAAUCAUUCAACACAAAUAGCAGGAAGCUAUACAAGUUUCCAUAUUUUAAUCAUUUAUCAUAAAGGAAAAGCUCUGUUUAUUCAACACAAAACUAAUAAUAGCUGAGCGUUCAAUCAAGUUGCUAAGAUCUAGACAACUAAAUUUCACUUUUGCACGUGUUCAGUUAGCAUACUAUCAACAAGCCAUGUCCAGUUUGCCAUAGAAAACAGUAUCCAUCUCAUUAAUAGAUGCAGCACGCAAUAAGCAUGCAGUUAAGUACCUUGCUAUGGUGGGUUCCUCACUGGAGCAGCACGUGGAGCUGGGCGUGGGGCGGACCUUCCUGCCAAUACAAUAAAAAAAUAAGCAUAAAGAAUACAAAAAAUAUGUCCCUGAGAAAUUAGAAGCAAAGAUGUUUCUGAAAUUCCAAGUGGCAAUUACAGACAUCCAAUGUUUCUUAAAAAAAAUACAGACAUUCAACCACCCAAUGAUUACCAGAUCAUCUUCCAAACCUCCAUCGCUAAGAUACUAGCAGUGGUGCAAUUAUCAGGAUAUGCAAAGACAGGGCAAAGACAUAUGAGCUGACUACUGAUACAGGAAUCCAGAUCACAGACAUGCAACAGAUCAAUCUCACCAAAAAAAAGAUAUGCAAAGAAUCGAUUUUCUCAUGAUCAGGGCAAACCAAUAUACAGACCACAAGAACGAUGACUGCUCGAUCUGGUGAGAGUUGAAGAGAGCGAGCCCGAAAGGUAGCAAAACUUCAGUGUUACAGAACUGGUGUAUGUAUGGUAUACAUAAUUAGUGCCAAAAAAUACUUGCAUUGCUUCUUUGUUUUCUGUUUUCCAUUAAACUUUAGAUGCAUUUAACUGGGGUUUUACUGCCUUCGUGAUUUCCAAAUUAAGCUUUAAAAGUAAGCCACAAAGUGUGUCAUCAUGUAUAUACAUGCAUUUUAAUCUAGCUGAUUUCUGAGGGAAGUAGAAAAUAGUGGGUAAAGGCCAAACGCAGCCACCACUUUAGAACUUUUCGGUCAGAUGAAAAUCUGUAUACCAGACCAUGCGUUUCAGUUAUGUAAUGGGGUUCAUACCUCAAUCCUUCAUACCUAUACUGUGUUUGCUAUAAUUGAGAUGAAUUCACUGUUUCUUUUAUGCGGGUCCACAACUUAAGAUUAGCAACUUCUCGGAGAUAGAAAUUUGGAAUGAUGAAUGUAUAUACUCUCUUUGGCUGUUUUAUCAUAGAAAGAAAUAUGUAUGUUUCAGUUUAUAAUCUAAAUGCACAAAAAUAAAAUAUCCAGAGGGGGAGGGAGUUAUGGGCAGUCCUUACCCAAGCAAUAGCAGGAGGCACAGCGCCCUCAGAUCUCCCGCUGCUCUCAGAUUCCGGUUCUCGUGCUGUGUUGCUCGACGUCGAAGCCCUAAUCAGCCGUGGCCUAGUGGGACAGUCUGAGAAGAGCGGAUCAAGAAAAACGAAACCCUAGCGCGAGGCAUAGAGAUGUAGGCUGAGGCGGGUUCACCGUUGCUGUGACCGAAGCGACGAGAAGGUGGAGGGUCGGCGGCGCCGGCGACAGCGACGUCAACGGCGAUAGCGACGAGAUGCUGGGGCGGCGAGCCGGCGACGACAAAGAGAUGAUGGUGCAGCGGCGGCCUCGCAACCGGGCAACGCCGCGAGUCGCGACUUUGCGAGUGCGACGAAUCAGCCGCGCGAGUCGGGGGAAGCCCUCCCGGCCUCAUGAGUCGUGGAUUCGUAACGCGUGGAAAAGAAAGGGAAG